This 400-nucleotide ribosomal RNA is filed under the name phytoplankton environmental sample. RNAcentral describes it as "partial small subunit ribosomal RNA". It matches the Rfam family "Eukaryotic small subunit ribosomal RNA", at positions 587 to 992 of the family's 1831-position model. The record is from RNAcentral.
AGCUCCAUUAGCGUAUAUUAAAGUUGUUGCAGUUAAAAAGCUCGUAGUUGGAUUUCAGUACGGGCCAGUCGGUCGGCCGCAAGGCCUGCUACUGGCUGGUCUGUUCUUCUUCUCAAAGACUGCGUGUGCUCUUCGCUGAGUGUGCGUAGGAUUUGGGACGUUUACUUUGAAAAAAUUAGAGUGUUCAAGGCAGGCUUGUAAGCUUGAAUACAUGAGCAUGGAAUAAUAGAAUAGGACUUUGGCCUCUUCUGUUGGUCUGAGGGGUUAAAGUAAUGAUUAAUAGGGAUAGUUGGGGGCAUUAGUACUUAACUGUCAGAGGUGAAAUUCUCGGAUUUGUUAAAGACUGUCUUAUGCGAAAGCAUUUGCCAAGGAUGUUUUCAUUAAUCAAGAACGAAAGUAG